Molecule: ribosomal RNA, 169 nt
Filed under: Salmonella enterica subsp. enterica serovar Heidelberg
Lineage: Bacteria; Pseudomonadati; Pseudomonadota; Gammaproteobacteria; Enterobacterales; Enterobacteriaceae
Also listed under: 6 other names
Description: partial 16S ribosomal RNA
Rfam family: Bacterial small subunit ribosomal RNA
Source: RNAcentral
AAAUUGAAGAGUUUGAUCAUGGCUCAGAUUGAACGCUGGCGGCAGGCCUAACACAUGCAAGUCGAACGGUAACAGGAAGCAGCUUGCUGCUUCGCUGACGAGUGGCGGACGGGUGAGUAAUGUCUGGGAAACUGCCUGAUGGAGGGGGAUAACUACUGGAAACGGUGGC